RNAcentral lists this ribosomal RNA (347 nucleotides) under uncultured soil bacterium. Its description in RNAcentral is "bacterial SSU rRNA". It matches the Rfam family "Bacterial small subunit ribosomal RNA", at positions 26 to 371 of the family's 1533-position model. The record is from RNAcentral.
AGAUUGAACGCUGGCGGCAGGCCUAACACAUGCAAGUCGAGCGGUAGAGAGGUGCUUGCAUCUCUUGAGAGCGGCGGACGGGUGAGUAAUGCCUAGGAAUCUGCCUAGUGGUGGGGGAUAACGUUCGGAAACGGACGCUAAUACCGCAUACGUCCUACGGGAGAAAGCGGGGGACCUUCGGGCCUCGCGCCAUUAGAUGAGCCUAGGUCGGAUUAGCUAGUUGGUGAGGUAAUGGCUCACCAAGGCGACGAUCCGUAACUGGUCUGAGAGGAUGAUCAGUCACACUGGAACUGAGACACGGUCCAGACUCCGUACGGGAGGCAGCAAGGUGGGGAAUAGUUGGACAA